Molecule: ribosomal RNA, 734 nt
Filed under: Peribacillus simplex
Lineage: Bacteria; Bacillati; Bacillota; Bacilli; Caryophanales; Bacillaceae
Description: bacterial SSU rRNA
Rfam family: Bacterial small subunit ribosomal RNA
Source: RNAcentral
UCGAUGGGAGCUUGCUCCCUGAGAUUAGCGGCGGACGGGUGAGUAACACGUGGGCAACCUGCCUAUAAGACUGGGAUAACUUCGGGAAACCGGAGCUAAUACCGGAUACGUUCUUUUCUCGCAUGAGAGAAGAUGGAAAGACGGUUUACGCUGUCACUUAUAGAUGGGCCCGCGGCGCAUUAGCUAGUUGGUGAGGUAAUGGCUCACCAAGGCGACGAUGCGUAGCCGACCUGAGAGGGUGAUCGGCCACACUGGGACUGAGACACGGCCCAGACUCCUACGGGAGGCAGCAGUAGGGAAUCUUCCGCAAUGGACGAAAGUCUGACGGAGCAACGCCGCGUGAACGAAGAAGGCCUUCGGGUCGUAAAGUUCUGUUGUUAGGGAAGAACAAGUACCAGAGUAACUGCUGGUACCUUGACGGUACCUAACCAGAAAGCCACGGCUAACUACGUGCCAGCAGCCGCGGUAAUACGUAGGUGGCAAGCGUUGUCCGGAAUUAUUGGGCGUAAAGCGCGCGCAGGUGGUUCCUUAAGUCUGAUGUGAAAGCCCACGGCUCAACCGUGGAGGGUCAUUGGAAACUGGGGAACUUGAGUGCAGAAGAGGAAAGUGGAAUUCCAAGUGUAGCGGUGAAAUGCGUAGAGAUUUGGAGGAACACCAGUGGCGAAGGCGACUUUCUGGUCUGUAACUGACACUGAGGCGCGAAAGCGUGGGGAGCAAACAGGAUUAGAUACCCU